CCCGCUGAACUUAAGCAUAUCAAUAAGCGGAGGAAAAGAAACUAACAAGGAUUCCCCUAGUAACUGCGAGUGAAGCGGGAAGAGCUCAAAUUUGAAAUCUGGCGCGCCUUUGGCCGUCCGAGUUGUAGUCUGGAGAAGCGUUUUCCCUGUUGGAACCUGGAUCAAUCUCUUGGAACAGGGCGUCAAUUGAUGGUGAGAAUACCGUCUUAGACGCUGACUAUCCAUUCUUUGUCAUGCGCUCUCAAAGAGUCGAGUUGUUUCUGAAUGCGCCUCUCAAUGGGUGGUAAAUUCCAUCUAAAGCUAUAUACAUGGGAGAGACCGCUAGCGAACAAGUGCCAUGAGGGAAAGAUGCAAAUCCCUUGAGAAAGAGAGUUAAACCGUUCGUGAAAUAGAUGAGAGGGAAACGCUUGAGGUCACUCACGUCUGCCACGACUCUCCCUUGCUUCUGCUUGCCGUACUUUCUGGCUUGAGACGGCACCAUCUCUUUCUAGAGCUGCAGAUAGGCUUUGGGAAUGUGUGACCUCCUGCUGUAUGAGAUACCUAUGUCGAAUACGACACUGGGAAUUGAAGGGUGCAACUCGCCUCUCUGCCCGGAGUACGCUCACAUACUGGCUUAGGACGACGCCAUAAUGACCUUAAGCGACCCAUCUCGCAACACC
RNAcentral lists this ribosomal RNA (659 nucleotides) under uncultured fungus. RNAcentral's name for it is "eukaryotic LSU rRNA". It matches the Rfam family "Eukaryotic large subunit ribosomal RNA", at positions 24 to 663 of the family's 3401-position model. Lineage: Eukaryota; Fungi. The record is from RNAcentral.